UACGUAGGGCGCAAGCGUUAUCCGGAAUUAUUGGGCGUAAAGAGCUCGUAGGCGGUUUGUCGCGUCUGCCGUGAAAAGUCCCGGGGGCUCAACUCCCGGAUCUGCGGUGGGUACGGGGCAGACUAGAGUGCGGGUAGGGGGAGAUUGGAAUUCCUGGUGUAGCGGUGGAAUGCGCAGAUAUCAGGAAGAACACCCCGUGGCUAAGGCGGCUCUCUAGUACGGGUAC
RNAcentral lists this ribosomal RNA (226 nucleotides) under uncultured bacterium. RNAcentral's name for it is "partial 16S ribosomal RNA". It matches the Rfam family "Bacterial small subunit ribosomal RNA", at positions 524 to 740 of the family's 1533-position model. The record is from RNAcentral.